AUAAAAUGUGACUGUCGAUUUUUGUACGUUUACAAAAUUGUAUAAGUCAUGAUCCAAUAAAGAUAAUAUACUAUAUGUAUAACCACAGCGUAGGGAUGGAUGCUUACGGAUGUAUAAACUAUAAAUAUAGACCUUUAGUGUGCAGUGUAUAUGUUGGACGGUAAUUGCUGGUUGACCAAUGUAUAAGCUCCAGCGGAUUAUUGAAGGUGAUUCCUCAGAAAAAGAAGUUACAGCUAAAUGUUCACCAACCAUGACCGAAUGACUGGGCGUAUGUGGCAAGUGGGGCAUGAACGACGGUUGGGGCUGUAUGAACUACCUGCUGGGUCAGUACUGGGGCUGCGUGGACCACUGGCUGGGCAACUGCUACUGGGGCAGCGUGGACAACAGCUUGAGAUACUGGUUCGUUGCCUUGUGAAAACCAGUGGUACCAGCUUAUAACUCCAAAAAAUGCUGAGAAAGGGUCCUAUUACUAUAUACACCCCAGAGUUAAGUCCAAAAUUGUAUCUUAUUUGUGAAUAUGUCGAAUAAAGAAUGUUU
Molecule: long non-coding RNA, 537 nt
Organism: Leptidea sinapis
Lineage: Eukaryota; Metazoa; Arthropoda; Insecta; Lepidoptera; Pieridae
Exons: 3
Source: RefSeq, a predicted model, not a curated record